UCAGGCCUAACACAUGCAAGUCGAACGGGUCCUUCGGGACUAGUGGCGGACGGGUGAGUAACGCGUGGGAACGUGCCCCUUGGUACGGAAUAGCCCUGGGAAACUGGGAGUAAUACCGUAUGUGGUCGAGAGACGAAAGAUUUAUCGCCAAGGGAUCGGCCCGCGUUGGAUUAGGUAGUUGGUGGGGUAAUGGCCUACCAAGCCGACGAUCCAUAGCUGGUUUGAGAGGAUGAUCAGCCACACUGGGACUGAGACACGGCCCAGACUCCUACGGGAGGCAGCAGUGGGGAA
RNAcentral lists this ribosomal RNA (291 nucleotides) under uncultured bacterium. RNAcentral's name for it is "partial 16S ribosomal RNA". It matches the Rfam family "Bacterial small subunit ribosomal RNA", at positions 43 to 361 of the family's 1533-position model. The record is from RNAcentral.